AAACACUGAGACCUGCACAAUAGCCACUUCUACUGUUUGUACAAACAAGGUUUGAUCAUAGUUUUUGAGCCCACUGUCACAUGGGGUGUUGAACCUAACAUAUAGUAAUAUUACCUUUUUAAUAUUACAUAUUCUACAAAUAAAGGUGGUAUAGAGAGCUUUUGUAUGAAAACCCUUUGCUGCUAAUUCAAUCUUUAACUGAUUAAAAGACGUUCUUUGAAUAUAAUGUUUGUAUGGGCUUAAAUAGAAAUAUAGAAUACUAAGUUUACCUCAACUAUGAUUCACCUUUUCCAAUAAAGAAGUGUAUAAAAGAAAGUAACAAAUUGUACACAAUCUAAAAGAAGAUGCACUUACUGACUUAUUUAUGCCCACAUAUACUGCAUUAACGCAAUGAUCACCGAUGACACUUCAUUUGCGAAUGUUGUGUUUUGGUAUAGGGUGCAAAGUGUGCGAGCUGGGUUGCAAAGUGUGCGAGCUGGGGGAAAGUUGGGUAAUGGGUCAAAACUGGUCGGGUCAGGUUUGGUUGACCCAUAACUUUUAUAUAUAACAUGUAGUUUCUACUUUAAUUACAAAAUCGUGUUAUUUCAUGAUAUUUGCUUUUAUCCAGGUUUUUGUUUUGAUAAUUAUCCGAACAUGACAAUGAUGCAUAUCUUGAAGCCUAUGAAGGUCUUUGCCGGAACUAUCCUUACAUUGUUGAAUAAGAAGAGGGAGUAAGGCACCUAAUGAAAAUCCUUGCAGCCACUAGAAAGUAUUGACCCGCCUUAUUAUUUUCGGAUAUAUGUGCCUUUGUCAUAAAGAGACGACCAACAGACAACGACAACAACGAUGCAGUGAUAAACAAGACAAUUGAUGCCGUAUUUUUUAUAGCGCUGUGGUGCUUGAAUCGGGUUGUGAUUGGUAACGAUUUGCAAUGGUCGUGCCUACGCAACUUAUAUCGGAGGUUAGUAUGGUGAAAUUUGCAGUUUUUAAAUUUGAAGUCGCAUCUUUUUCAUUUACGCAACUAAUGGAGUUGAUCAACGUCUGCUAUCUAAUCUUCUCAUACAGGUAUGUUUGAUUCUUUUGCGUAUUUUUAACUGAAAUUAGUGUCCAUUUUGAAUCUGUAAUCCACUUAAAAAGUUGCCUCUUACGACCUCGGUCCCGACCGUUUUACGAAAUUUAAUUGUAUAAACUCUACUAAUCUGAAAGUCAGCUUGCCACUAUUUUUGCUUUUGUAAUUUUAAUUUUGAACCUUUCAUAUUUGCUAUUAGUUUAACAGAUGUGAUAAAAUUUGUUCUAUUUUUCAGUUAGCAAUUCUAACGCAGAAAACUACAUGAACCUGAUUCUUGCAACACUAUACAUUAGUCCAUCACUCCAUCUUAUGCUUAUCUAGCAGGAACAACGUUGUUAACACUAUAGUAUUGACUAAUAAAAAAGUUAAAAUAAUCCUAUAAAAUAUCAACAAAAUUAAAAGCCAUAUGGAAUUAUUCAAUCGUGAGUGUUUUUUGCAUGUUUAUUGUUCAAGGUAGAUGAUGAGUAGACAUAUCUUUAAGUAUUCUGGAUCCCUUUACAUGUUUAUAUUUAAAACUAACAGUGAUGAGAUAACCGGAGCGACGUGUUGAAGCUGGUUAGUUUCGUGUUGGUCAUAUUCAUUUAAGUGUGGUCAUUUCCUGCCAGUAAAGUAUGUAGAGAAGAAGAGUUCGAUGAAGACGUAGAAGGGAGGAACGAGAGUCGAGAUAAGGAAGAGAAUGUUGUGGUAGUAGAGUGGUCGGUUGGUGACGAUGACGGUGAGUGGUAGCGGAGGAAUUGAACCAGACGAGUUUGGGCGAUGGUGAGUGGCAACCGAUAACGAUGGCAGUUUUGGAGUCUUGAAUUGAAGCGUUGAGCAGUGAUUUAGGGAUCGGUGUCGGCUACGUGCUCUGUUGUUUCUGCAGUUAGAUUGUUUUGUUCUUUUUCCUAAUCUUUAAUGGUAGAUUGGACCAUGCUUAGUGAA
Long non-coding RNA from Helianthus annuus (common sunflower), 1969 nucleotides. RefSeq lists it as uncharacterized. The record is from RefSeq and is a predicted model, not a curated record. The transcript is spliced from 3 exons. Lineage: Eukaryota; Viridiplantae; Streptophyta; Magnoliopsida; Asterales; Asteraceae.